GUGUCAGCCGCCGCGGUAAUACAGAGGGGGCAAGCGUUGUUCGGAAUCACUGGGUGUAAAGGGUGCGUAGGCGGUCCGUUAAGUCUGAUGUGAAAGCCCUGGGCUCAACUCAGGAAUGGCAUUGGAAACUGGCGGGCUGGAGUACUGGAGAGGGAAGCGGAAUUCCUGGUGUAGCGGUGAAAUGCGUAGAUACCAGGAGGAACACCGGUGGCGAAGGCGGCUUCCUGGCCAAGUACUGACGCUGAGGCACGAAAGCGUGGGGAGCGAACGGGAUUAGAUACCCUUGUAGUCC
This 292-nucleotide ribosomal RNA is filed under the name uncultured bacterium. RNAcentral describes it as "partial 16S ribosomal RNA". It matches the Rfam family "Bacterial small subunit ribosomal RNA", at positions 505 to 796 of the family's 1533-position model. The record is from RNAcentral.